GCGCCUGUAGCUCAGCGGAUAGAGCGGAUGCCUUCUAAGCAUUAGGUCGGGGGUUCGACUCCCUCCAGGCGCACCA
Molecule: transfer RNA, 76 nt
Filed under: Candidatus Portnoybacteria bacterium CG_4_9_14_3_um_filter_43_11
Lineage: Bacteria; Candidatus Portnoyibacteriota
Description: tRNA-Arg
Rfam family: tRNA
About the family: Transfer RNA (tRNA) molecules are approximately 80 nucleotides in length.
Source: RNAcentral